AGAGUUUGAUCCUGGCUCAGAACGAACGCUGGCGGCGUGGAUAAGACAUGCAAGUCGAACGAGAGAAUUGCUAGCUUGCUAAUAAUUCUCUAGUGGCGCACGGGUGAGUAACACGUGAGUGACCUGCCCCCGAGAGCAGGAUAGCCCUGGGAAACUGGGAUUAAUACCGCAUAGUAUCGAAAGAUUAAAGCAGCAAUGCGCUUGGGGAUGGGCUCGCGGCCUAUUAGCUAGUUGGUGAGGUAACGGCUCACCAAGGCGAUGACGGGUAGCCGGUCUGAGAGGAUGUCCGGCCACACUGGAACUGAGACACGGUCCAGACACCUACGGGUGGCAGCAGUCGAGAAUCAUUCACAAUGGGGGAAACCCUGAUGGUGCGACGCCGCGUGGGGGAAUGAAGGUCUUCGGAUUGUAAACCCCUGUCAUGUGGGAGCAAAUUAAAAAGAUAGUACCACAAGAGGAAGAGACGGCUAACUCUGUGCCAGCAGCCGCGGUAAUACAGAGGUCUCAA
RNAcentral lists this ribosomal RNA (508 nucleotides) under uncultured bacterium. RNAcentral describes it as "bacterial SSU rRNA". It matches the Rfam family "Bacterial small subunit ribosomal RNA", at positions 8 to 537 of the family's 1533-position model. The record is from RNAcentral.